GCCUGGCUGGCUCAGUAGGUAGAGCAUGAGACUCUUAACCUCAGGGUCAUGAGUUUAAGCCCCAUUUUGGACG
RNAcentral lists this transfer RNA (73 nucleotides) under Mesocricetus auratus (golden hamster). It matches the Rfam family "tRNA". From Rfam's summary of the family: Transfer RNA (tRNA) molecules are approximately 80 nucleotides in length. Their secondary structure includes four short double-helical elements and three loops (D, anti-codon, and T loops). The record is from Rfam by way of RNAcentral. Lineage: Eukaryota; Metazoa; Chordata; Mammalia; Rodentia; Cricetidae.